Molecule: long non-coding RNA, 1945 nt
Organism: Oreochromis niloticus (Nile tilapia)
Lineage: Eukaryota; Metazoa; Chordata; Actinopteri; Cichliformes; Cichlidae
Exons: 2
Source: RefSeq, a predicted model, not a curated record
UCAUCUCCUAAAAACGAGCCAGUGGAGACGUUGGACUCUGCACACUGACAUUGCUUACACUGCACUGGAGGCUGUAUUAUUUUAUUGCUGAGGUAAUGAGGUGGUCAUGCUUGUCUUUUUUUUAUGGGGGGUGACAAAGAAGAGUUCUCCCAUCCCAUAAUAUCACUGGGGUAGAUUACACUGAACUAUAACUGUGCACACUUUCUAAAAAGGAAUAGUGACAUUUGUUUUUAAAUGCCCAUCACAGGUGGAUAUGGAGGAUUUUUAGGAAUGGGUCAUCCUGGAUGCUUGUGUAGUUUUGGAGAACCUCACUGCAUUCCCUUAUGCGAAGAGGAGAUGUAGGUGGGAGUCUAAAAAGUGUUAUCUUAAGAUAUUUGGUUGUUUGACCCAUGUGGUUUUUUUUUUUUUUUACAGUAAUACGCACAUUGUUUGCAGAUAUAAUUUUGCAUUGAGUUGAUGUUAAAAUUUCAACCAGAUAAAACUUUAUAGUGAGCAUAAACUAUUCUUAAUAAUUUCCUACUGCCGUUACAGUCACAGUGACAUGCUGAAUGGCUACAUGCAGCUUUGCUCAGAUACGCUCAGAUCGCCACCUGGUGGCAAGAAGAAGAAGGAUUUUCUAGGUUCUUGGUCUUCUUUAAAGAAAAAUUAUUUAAAGUUAUGAAAUACAUUCUUGAUAAGUAAAAGAUCAACAUUUGGAAAACCAUGGAUGGAUUUUUUGAAUAUCUUUGCCCCCUCCCCCCAAGUUUUGACAUUCAACCAAAAAUUAUGUUAUUCUGAUGUGAGAACAGGACAUAACUUUCUCAGUUAUAGUAAGGGUUGCUUGCAGGCGUUGAGUAAAAAAGAAAAAAAGAAGCCAGUUGUUGUGAUUUGGCGCUGUAUAAAUAAAACUGAAUUGGAUUUAAAAUCACAGUGACAUGCUUACAGCUUUGCUCAGACACACACAGAACUGCAUCUAUUGGCAAGGAAGAGGACAAUUUUCUAGUUUCUCACUGAAAUGAAAUAAAACUUUAUAAUCAUUUAGUUUUUCCAAGUUUCUCAAUCAUGUAGGGCUGAUUGUAGGAGGGGCGAGGGGAGCUUAAGGAGUUUAAAAGUUUGGCUGGCCUGUCUUUCACUGAUCUGGCACAUCUGCUUAGCAUGAAUCUGCUCUCAUCUGUGAAGAGAACAGGGUGCCAGUGGUAAACACCAGUCAAGCUGCAUGAUGCUGAGCUGUGAGCAUUGACCUAUAUGACACCCUCAUGGAGUCUCUUUCAGAAACAUGCCUGAGUAACCUGUUUGAGGUCAUUUUCUGGAACUCUGGCAGCGCUCUUCUUCACACAAACAAAUACCGGUCCUGCUGCUGGGUUUACACGCCCUCUCCUUCCCUGUCAAGCUCUCUUUGCAGUAGCAGGCCCAUUUCCUGGUAUCGCCUCCACACUCUGGAAACUGCGCUGGGAGACACAGCAAACCUUGCAAUGGCAGGUUUGGAUGUGUCAUUCUGGAGAAGGUGGACUACCUGUGCAACCUAAACCAGCUGCAGCAAAACCAGAGAAAAAUCAGUCAGGAGGGAGAGAGCAACAGUCUGCAUCGACCAUCUGCACAGUCUUUGCUGUUUUGGAGGGGUUGUUUGGUCGUUGCCUAAUCACUGCACCUGUUGUCACACUGAGUCACACCAAAGCAGGUGAAACUGAUUCAUGGUGGUUUAUACUUCCUAACAUAACAGACUGAAAAUCCUUUAAAUAACUCAGACUGUGUGUGUCAUUCUGUGAUAAUCAGGACUACCCUUGUAUAAAUAUAUGAACACAAUAUCAAGCCAAGUGAAGUCGUCAAUAUCCUGUACAUUUGGCCUGGUUUUAUUGUGAAUACCAAUUAAUAAGUAUGGUUAAAAGAAUACAUACAAACAGCAGGGUACACCUUUAGACGGAACCUUUUACAAUAAUGUUGCUUUAAAACUUAAAAAAAAAUAAAA